GUGGGGAAUAUUGGACAAUGGGCGAAAGCCUGAUCCAGCCACGCCGCGUGUGUGAUGAAGGCCUUCGGGUCGUAAAGCACUGUGGGGAGGGAAGAACAGGUAGGGAGCUAAUAUCUCCCUAUUCAGACGGUACCUCCUUAGCAAGCACCGGCUAACUCCGUGCCAGCAGCCGCGGUAAUACGGAGGGUGCAAACGUUGCUCGGAAUCAUUGGGCGUAAAGCGCGUGUAGGCGGCUUGUUAAGUCGGGUGUGAAAGCCCUGGGCUCAACCCAGGAAGUGCGCCCGAAACUGGCGAGCUAGAGUACGGGAGAGGGUAGUGGAAUUCCCGGUGUAGAGGUGAAAUUCGUAGAUAUCGGGAGGAACACCAGUGGCGAAGGCGGCUACCUGGACCGAUACUGACGCUGAGACGCGAAAGCGUGGGUAGCAAACAGGAUUAGAUACCCGAGUAGUCC
Molecule: ribosomal RNA, 451 nt
Filed under: uncultured bacterium
Lineage: Bacteria
Description: bacterial SSU rRNA
Rfam family: Bacterial small subunit ribosomal RNA
Source: RNAcentral